AGUGAACGCUGGCGGUAGGCCUAACACAUGCAAGUCGAACGGCAGCACAGUAAGAGCUUGCUCUUACGGGUGGCGAGUGGCGGACGGGUGAGGAAUACAUCGGAAUCUACUUUUUCGUGGGGGAUAACGUAGGGAAACUUACGCUAAUACCGCAUACGACCUACGGGUGAAAGCAGGGGAUCUUCGGACCUUGCGCGAUUGAAUGAGCCGAUGUCGGAUUAGCUAGUUGGCGGGGUAAAGGCCCUCCAAGGCGACGAUCCGUAGCUGGUCUGAGAGGAUGAUCAGCCACACUGGAACUGAGACACGGUCCAGACUCCUACGGGAGGCAGCAGUGGGGAAUAUUGGACAAUGGGCGCAAGCCUGAUCCAGCCAUACCGCGUGGGUGAAGAAGGCCUUCGGGUUGUAAAGCCCUUUUGUUGGGAAAGAAAAGCAGCAGGUUAAUACCCCGCUGUUCCGACGGUACCCAAAGAAUAAGCACCGGCUAACUUCGUG
This 492-nucleotide ribosomal RNA is filed under the name uncultured bacterium. RNAcentral describes it as "partial 16S ribosomal RNA". It matches the Rfam family "Bacterial small subunit ribosomal RNA", at positions 29 to 507 of the family's 1533-position model. The record is from RNAcentral.